Molecule: non-coding RNA, 90 nt
Organism: Legionella sp. 40-6
Lineage: Bacteria; Pseudomonadati; Pseudomonadota; Gammaproteobacteria; Legionellales; Legionellaceae
Source: Rfam
AAGAUAGAUGAAGUUAGCUAACCAGCGAGCUGGCUACCAUACUUCACUGACCUUAUUCGCACCUUCGGUGCUCAACGCAAAAAGCAUUUU